RNAcentral lists this transfer RNA (71 nucleotides) under Marmota monax (woodchuck). RNAcentral's name for it is "tRNA.Ala". Lineage: Eukaryota; Metazoa; Chordata; Mammalia; Rodentia; Sciuridae. The record is from RNAcentral.
GAGGUUGUGGCUCAGCGGUAGAGUACUUGCCUCGCAUGGAUGAGGCACUGGGUUUGAUCCUCAGAACCACA